UCUAGAAACAAAACAAAGCUACUACUGAUGAAUUAAAAUCAGAAGGACUACUACCAUUUCUCUACUCUUGCUGCGUUUGGUAUGUGACAUGAAGCUUACUACUAUUGUUUUGUAGGUCCUAGCUCAAGUCAAGCCACACAAAAGUAGACAAGGGGUCCCACAUGAGGAUCAGUGGCGGGCUUUGGUCUACUAUUAGGGCACUCAAAGUGCAUCGAAAUCAAGCAAGAAGAAUAGAAAAAUCCGGAAGAAGAAGACAUUACAUCAUAGAACAGGCCGAAAGCCUUUCUCAGUAGUUCGACUGGAGGAGACCAAAAAGAACAAUGGGGUUCCUGCUAGUAGGUCACAGGUGUGGAUGGCCGCAUACAUGAAAGAUGGGACGUCAAAUAGUGAUUCAGUUAAUGAGGUUAUGACUCAAAUGAAUGAGUUAGCAGAGCG
Camellia sinensis is the source of this 435-nucleotide non-coding RNA. The record is from RefSeq and is a predicted model, not a curated record. Lineage: Eukaryota; Viridiplantae; Streptophyta; Magnoliopsida; Ericales; Theaceae.